AAGGAUCAUCAAUGAGAUAAUAUACUAACGGUUUGACGCGGUACACGUCGUGGGCUGAGUUCCCAGGCUUUCGGGCCAGGUUCUCAGGUUGCGACGCCGUGCCGUCUCAUUCCUCAUACAAAUCCAUUUCUGUCUGAUACAUUAAUAUAAUUAAAAAUACAACUUUCAACAAUGGAUCUCUUGGUUCCC
This 189-nucleotide unclassified non-coding RNA is filed under the name uncultured fungus. RNAcentral describes it as "partial contains 18S rRNA, ITS1, 5.8S rRNA, ITS2 and 28S rRNA". The record is from RNAcentral. Lineage: Eukaryota; Fungi.